This 391-nucleotide unclassified non-coding RNA is filed under the name soil metagenome. RNAcentral describes it as "partial contains 5.8S ribosomal RNA, internal transcribed spacer 2, and large subunit ribosomal RNA". The stretch from base 1 to 122 matches the Rfam family "5.8S ribosomal RNA", at positions 35 to 154 of the family's 154-position model. The record is from RNAcentral.
GAUGAAGAACGUAGCGAAAUGCGAUACUUGGUGUGAAUUGCAGAAUCCCGUGAACCAUCGAGUCUUUGAACGCAAGUUGCGCCCGAAGCCAUUAGGCCGAGGGCACGCCUGCCUGGGCGUCACACGUCGUUGCCCCCCCAUCUACUCCUUCGGGAUUGCGGGGGGCGGAUGAUGGCCUCCCGUGCGCCUCGUCGCGCGGUUGGCAUAAAUGCCAAGUCCUCGGCGACGCACGCCACGACAAUCGGUGGUUGCGAAACCUCGGUUGCCCGUCGUGUGCGGUCGUCGCGCAUCGAGGGCUCGAAAAAAUUGUCGGGCUCCGGCUCGGCUUUCAACGCGACCCCAGGUCAGGCGGGAUUACCCGCUGAAUUUAAGCAUAUCAAUAAGCGGAGGA